CACGGGGGGAGCAAGCGUUGUUCGGAAUCACUGGGCGUAAAGGGCGUGUAGGCGGUCAGGUAAGUGGGAUGUGAAAGCCCUCGGCUCACCCGAGGAUCUGCAUCUCAAACUGCCUGGCUUGAGUAUGGGAGAGGAUGAGGGAAUUCCUGGUGUAGCGGUGAAAUGCGUAGAUAUCGUAAGGAAGACCAGUGGCGAAGGCGGGUCUCUGGACAGUUCCUGACGCUGAGGCACGAAGGUCAGGGGAGCAAACGGG
RNAcentral lists this ribosomal RNA (253 nucleotides) under uncultured bacterium. RNAcentral describes it as "partial 16S ribosomal RNA". It matches the Rfam family "Bacterial small subunit ribosomal RNA", at positions 524 to 776 of the family's 1533-position model. The record is from RNAcentral.